GCGGAUGUAGUUCAGUAGUAGAACGUCCCCCUUCCAGGGGGAAAACGCAGUGUGCGAUCCCUGCCAUCCGCUCCA
This 75-nucleotide transfer RNA is filed under the name Streptomyces sp. WM4235. RNAcentral's name for it is "tRNA-Gly". It matches the Rfam family "tRNA". Rfam says of the family: Transfer RNA (tRNA) molecules are approximately 80 nucleotides in length. RNAcentral also lists the same sequence under 14 other names. The record is from RNAcentral. Lineage: Bacteria; Bacillati; Actinomycetota; Actinomycetes; Kitasatosporales; Streptomycetaceae.